Molecule: ribosomal RNA, 497 nt
Filed under: uncultured bacterium
Lineage: Bacteria
Description: partial 16S ribosomal RNA
Rfam family: Bacterial small subunit ribosomal RNA
Source: RNAcentral
GAUGAACGCUGGCGGCGUGCCUAAUACAUGCAAGUCGAGCGAACGGACGAGAAGCUUGCUUCUCUGAUGUUAGCGGCGGACGGGUGAGUAACACGUGGAUAACCUACCUAUAAAACUGGGAUAACUUCGGGAAACCGGAGCUAAUACCGGAUGAUAUUUUGAACCGCAUGGUUCAAAAGUGAAAGACGGUCUUGCUGUCACUUAUAUAUGGAUCCGCGCUGCAUUAGCUAGUUGGUAAGGUAACGGCUUACCAAGGCAACGAUGCAUAGCCGACCUGAGAGGGUGAUCGGCCACACUGGAACUGAGACACGGUCCAGACUCCUACGGGAGGCAGCAGUAGGGAAUCUUCCGCAAUGGGCGAAAGCCUGACGGAGCAACGCCGCGUGAGUGAUGAAGGUCUUCGGAUCGUAAAACUCUGUUAUUAGGGAAGAACAUAUGUGUAAGUAACUGUGCACAUCUUGACGGUACCUAAUCAGAAAGCCACGGCUAACUACGUG